UACGUAGGGUGCAAGCGUUAAUCGGAAUUACUGGGCGUAAAGCGUGCGCAGGCGGUUUUGUAAGUCUGUCGUGAAAUCCCCGGGCUCAACCUGGGAAUGGCGAUGGAGACUGCAAGGCUAGAGUUUGGCAGAGGGGGGUAGAAUUCCACGUGUAGCAGUGAAAUGCGUAGAUAUGUGGAGGAACACCGAUGGCGAAGGCAGCCCCCUGGGCUAACACUGACGCUCAUGCACGAAAGCGUGGGGAGCAAACAGG
This 253-nucleotide ribosomal RNA is filed under the name uncultured bacterium. RNAcentral's name for it is "partial 16S ribosomal RNA". It matches the Rfam family "Bacterial small subunit ribosomal RNA", at positions 524 to 776 of the family's 1533-position model. The record is from RNAcentral.